RNAcentral lists this long non-coding RNA (425 nucleotides) under Homo sapiens (human). Its description in RNAcentral is "non-protein coding lnc-SRPK2-1:15". The record is from RNAcentral. Lineage: Eukaryota; Metazoa; Chordata; Mammalia; Primates; Hominidae.
CUUCAUUUGAAAAAUGGGAAAAAGAAGUAAUAUCACGUACCUUGACCAUGGUAUCAGAGAAUGACCUCAGAAGUUGUGAGGGAAUUCUCAGACAAAACUUUGAAAUAUAAUCCAGGAUUCAAUCAGUAUAAAGGACGCUCAGCAUAACCCAAGAAGGUCACAGACCAGAAUCACUGGCUGAAACCUCUGGCAGUGACCAACCUCAACUCAAAAGGUGGACGCAAAGGUGUUAAAUGAGGUUGAAUAUAUUGACCAGAAAAGAAAAUAUUAUAGUCCUUUGUUGAAGAAGAGUUUUCUCAUACUGGAAAGAAAAAAAAUAAAAGAAAGAAACUUCAAAAACUUCAUGCUGCUUUCUGAAGUACUCCAGCCAAAGAAAAUAAUUCAGGUAUCAAGUUGGACUAGCUCAGAUGACUACAAAAUGGUGA